CUUUUAAAGUGCGUUAAAGCUUUACAACAYUGCCACUAUAAAUACCGAACAAACCCACUAACCCUUAUUAACUAUUGGAUGACUCCAUAACUUAUGGAAGCCACUAUGCUUGAACUAGUAACAAGAACAUGAACUUCUCUUAGAUACGCGUGUAAGCCGCAACAGACAAUCUAACGGCAAUUAACGUUAAUAACCCCAAUACAACAACCCUCAAGAAAAACUUGCAUAACUCAACGUCACCCUUACACAAGCAUAUCACAAGAAAGAUUAAAAGGGGGAGAAGGAACUCGGCAAACCACAACCCCGCCUGUUUACCAAAAACAUCGCCUCUUGCUUAAAUAUAAGAGGUCUAGCCUGCCCAGUGAACAUUAAACGGCCGCGGUAUCCUAACCGUGCUAAGGUAGCACAAUUACUUGUCCCUUAAAUGGGGACUAGAAUGAACGGCAUCACGAGGGUUAUACUGUCUCCUCCCCCCAAUCAGUGAAACUGACCUCCCUGUGAAAAGGCAGGGAUUAAUAUAUUAGACGAGAAGACCCCAUGGAGCUUCAGACACCAAGCAAAUCUUGACCCCCUUCACCCUCAAAGCCUUUGAUUUAUGUCUCUAAGUCUUCGGUUGGGGCGACCAUGGAGUAAAAAUCAACCUCCAUAUCGAAUGGAUCACUCCUUAUUUAAGAGGCCACACCUCUAGAAAACAGAAUACUGACGCCCACUGAUCCGGAAUCCGAUCAAUGAACCAAGUUACCCUGGGGAUAACAGCGCUAUCCACUUCGAGAGUUCCUAUCGACAAGUGGGUUUACGACCUCGAUGUUGGAUCGGGAUACCCUAGUGGUGCAGCCGCUACACAUGGUUC
This 850-nucleotide ribosomal RNA is filed under the name Cornufer minutus (tiny sticky-toed frog). Its description in RNAcentral is "partial 16S ribosomal RNA". It matches the Rfam family "Bacterial large subunit ribosomal RNA", at positions 1206 to 2574 of the family's 2925-position model. Lineage: Eukaryota; Metazoa; Chordata; Amphibia; Anura; Ceratobatrachidae. The record is from RNAcentral.